UCCCCAUUUUAAGUCAAGGACCUAUUCUUUUUCCUCGCGAAAUAUUCUCCAUGAACUGGUUCUGUUACAAACUGGGAAGAUUGAGACCGACUCGCUUUCCCAACGCCGUCUUGGCUGCGGGUGGAUGGCUUCCGUUUUGGUGGCCGUCGCUAGAGUUCAGAGUGAUCUGUUUGAGUUGAGGGCCGACUCCGCCUCGCGGGUUCUUGUGGCGGUCCUCUUAGUAACGCUUCACACAUGC
RNAcentral lists this small nucleolar RNA (238 nucleotides) under Ascochyta rabiei. RNAcentral's name for it is "Didymella rabiei Small nucleolar RNA snR191". It matches the Rfam family "Small nucleolar RNA snR191". Lineage: Eukaryota; Fungi; Ascomycota; Dothideomycetes; Pleosporales; Didymellaceae. The record is from Rfam by way of RNAcentral.